GACGAACGCUGGCGGCGUGCUUAACACAUGCAAGUCGAACGGAAAGGCCCUGCUUUUGUGGGGUGCUCGAGUGGCGAACGGGUGAGUAACACGUGAGUAACCUGCCCUUGACUUUGGGAUAACUUCAGGAAACUGGGGCUAAUACCGGAUAGGAGCUCCUGCUGCAUGGUGGGGGUUGGAAAGUUUCGGCGGUUGGGGAUGGACUCGCGGCUUAUCAGCUUGUUGGUGGGGUAGUGGCUUACUAAGGCUUUGACGGGUAGCCGGCCUGAGAGGGUGACCGGCCACAUUGGGACUGAGAUACGGCCCAGACUCCUACGGGAGGCAGCAGUGGGGAAUAUUGCACAAUGGGCGGAAGCCUGAUGCAGCAACGCCGCGUGCGGGAUGACGGCCUUCGGGCUGUAAACCGCUUUCGCCUGUGACGAAGCGUGAGUGACGGUAAUGGGUAAAGAAGCACCGGCUAACUACGUG
RNAcentral lists this ribosomal RNA (468 nucleotides) under uncultured bacterium. RNAcentral describes it as "partial 16S ribosomal RNA". It matches the Rfam family "Bacterial small subunit ribosomal RNA", at positions 28 to 507 of the family's 1533-position model. The record is from RNAcentral.